This is a non-coding RNA of Gasterosteus aculeatus aculeatus (three-spined stickleback), 2605 nucleotides long. The record is from RefSeq and is a predicted model, not a curated record. Lineage: Eukaryota; Metazoa; Chordata; Actinopteri; Perciformes; Gasterosteidae.
ACAUUUUGUUUUCUUUCUGUUUCCUGUUGCAGAUAAAGAUAAAGAUAAAAGCUGUGUGCGCGCAUGUGUGUUUGAGCUAAAGAGAUAUCGGAAGGAAGUUGUCAGAUCAACCACAGUGACUAAUCGUUCUUAGUUCCACAUCCUUCCGACAGCAGAAACCCAGCAGGCGAAGUGAAAGCGGCACCGAGGCUGUCCUUGACUGUGCCUGAACACUGCGGUACCCUCCCACAAGACCCCGUGGAUAAAAACUACCUGACGCCCUCUCAGUGGAUGUCCACAGAGGAGAUGCGUCAACGGGCGUCUGUGCUUCUCUCACUGUGUCCCUGAUCCCAUCGCGCUGCACCAUAGAGGUCCCUUUGUUGAAGAAUGUGAAUCUAAUGGCUAGCAGCUAACAGGGGCGGCUCCAUUGCAGAGGUCUGGAUGGUGGACAGAGGUAGCGUGUUGAAGAAAUGCAUAGCCAGCGAACAGAGAAGAGGAGGAGGCAGAGGUAAUGCUAUCAGGUAAAUGAGACACAGAAUGAUGAACUGUGGGAUAAAAGCUCGAAGCAAACAUCCAUGGGAGGCUCAGAUGGUGAAAGAAAAUUGUCCGGAAAAAAAAAAAAAAAAAAUGUUUUAUUCCCCCUCCAGGUCCAGAUUGCUAACGCUAUAGCUAAUGCUCCUGUUGUGAUGGGUAGAGCAACUGCUAAGCACGAAAGGGAGGGAGGUGAACACAGAUGGAGGGAGGGGGAUGAGAGCGGAGGAGAACAGGAUGGGUGGAGGAGGGAGGAGGGAAUCUCGGGGGAGAAUGCCGUCAUGCCUGACCAAUGACAGGCAUGCAGUGGAAGCCCCUUCCACCCUCCUCAAAUCCUCAUUUGUUCUCCAUUUCCAACCAUCGCAUGCACCACAUCUUUCUGUCUGGCUCACAGAGUACGUUAUUGCCAAGAUGCAGAGCAGGAGGAUGUUCUAAAAACCAACCAUGUGUGAUUCAUUUACAGCGGAAAGCCUGAGUGUGACUGCGUAAAAAAGCUAAAUAAAAUGCAUCUUUUAUUUGAACCUGUAAAUGUACUAUUGUUAGAAAUCUUAUGUCUUCAUUUGUCUCUUAAUUUCUUCUAUUUGUCCAUAGGCAUCUUCUAGAGGUAAUGUCAAAAUAUGUUAGGACCUAUAAUAAUAUCACAUGCAUUAACAAUAAAAAUAUUACAUAAAUUGACUGGACAUUUACUUGUCUAUGAGCUGAUUGGGGACCAAUACAAUCUAUAUACUAAUCUAUUAUAUUAAUCAUAAUAUCUAAUUACCGUUAAAAAAAACGUAACAUUUACCUUUUCAGUUUAAACUGGCUCAUAAUUGGCUGGUAUAUUGGUAAGCUGCAUGUUUGUGAAAUUUAUUGAUACAUUUGGUUUAUUUGAGGAUGUAAAAGUGGAAAUGGUUUGGGGUGAUAUUACCCACCUUUAUUUACCGGAUAUCCAUGGCUACAUGAAAAUUCUUGAUUUUUUAACUUAUUCUGUUAAAAAAUGAUUUUAAAAUGCUAAAUUGUUUAUUUUAUUUAAGCAAAAAGACUACAAACAGCAUUUCCUAUCUUUCAAAAUUUAAGUUGUGUUUAAUGUUGUCUAUUAAUGUCUAUUACUUGUUUAGCGUAUGUGUGUGAGUCUGACUCUACGCUUCCAUUUAAAUACAUUUAAAAUGUUUUGUUUACAGAUUUCAAAUAAUAAUAAUUAUUAUUUUAUAAUAAUAACAACAAAUAAUACAUUUCUCUAUCAACCUCUGCAGGAACCAUGCUGCAUCCAUAACUGUUUCUUCUAAUGGGAGAAAUGUAUUCUAAUGCUACAGAUGUAUUAAUAUGUGUAAACUAGCUCAGGGCAGUAUGGGUGUGACAUGGCGCAUCAGGUUCAACAUGAUAUUUAACAUAAUGAGUCUUAAUUUACAAAUGAGCCUCCUAACUUCAAGAUACAGUUUCUGAUUUAAACACUAGGGGGCAAGAAACGCCUUCUUUUCAAUGCCCCUCCUCAGACACAAAGUCAUGUCUGCAGAAUCAUGCUUCACCACUCAUACUUUGAGCAGAGCUUUGAGGUAACAUUCCCACGAAUUACAUCUGUAAUAAACUGAUAUGUGCAUAACUACCAUCUUUAUUCAUUUAUUUUUACUAGCAAUUCAUGGAAAUAUUUGACCUUAAAGCCACAUUGGUUCAUCUUUUGGACACAAAACUAAACGAAUACAUGACUAUUAAGCACUAUUGGCAGUAGGUGUUUGACAUGAAAACUGAUUUUAUAGUUAAGUGAAUUUAAGCAGAUGGUUACACGAAUGUAAGUGAAUACUAACCUUGAGGAGGGCUAGGGCUACAUUGAAGAUGAUGCUCAGACCCUGAAAGAGAACAAUUAAACAUAAAUUAGGACACGAGGGGAAAAAGUAUCAUGUCUAUAUGCAUCAACAGGUUUCAAAAGUUUCAGCGUAUUGAUUUCUGAAACUGAAGAUAUUCUUCCAGAACUGAAAUUUGCGUGCAGUCCAGUGUGUUGGGUUUACUGUGCCUUGCUUUAAUCAUGUAUUGUUUCAUUACAAUAGCCAUUCAUUUUAAAACAAGAUAAAGCCAAAUUAUACUGUCUUUUGUACAUUAAAUCUAUAAUGUUUCUAUAUGA